GCCGCGGCGAUAGCUCAGUGGGUAAAGCGCCAGACUCCGAAUCCGCGCGGGUUCGAAUCCCGCCUGUGGCA
Non-coding RNA from Aromia moschata, 71 nucleotides. The record is from the annotation of a GenBank genome assembly. NCBI's taxonomy places the organism in Eukaryota, Metazoa, Arthropoda, Insecta, Coleoptera, Cerambycidae.